Molecule: transfer RNA, 65 nt
Filed under: Maiestas dorsalis
Lineage: Eukaryota; Metazoa; Arthropoda; Insecta; Hemiptera; Cicadellidae
Description: tRNA-Glu
Source: RNAcentral
UUUCAUAUAGUUUAUUAAAACAUUUUAUUUUCAUUAAAAAGAAAACUUUUCAAAGUUUAUGAACG